Molecule: long non-coding RNA, 490 nt
Filed under: Pongo abelii (Sumatran orangutan)
Lineage: Eukaryota; Metazoa; Chordata; Mammalia; Primates; Hominidae
Description: lincRNA
Source: RNAcentral
AUGCAAACAUGAGUAACAUGGCCCUGCUCUGGAGACUACUGGGAACACAAACACAGCCAUUUAAGACAUCUUCCUGCUUCUCCUUUCCCUUCCAUCAUGAUUGAAAGUUGUCUGAGGUCUCCCAGCCAUGUGUCCUGUACAGCCUGCGGAACUGUCACGCUGAAUUUGGACACUGGAGAAGAGAAAGGAGAAGGCCAUUCUGGCUACCCUAGGACUCAGAGAUGCCUUUGAAGAAGAAUCAGAAAAUGGAGACUGGGAUUGGAAGCAGAGAUCCGAUGGCCAAAUUACAGAGUCUUCCACUGAAACUAACUCACCUAUGGAUUCAGAGUAUUCUUUAGUCUCUUCCACCAUGUGAGGGCACAGUGAAAGGAAGGCCCUCUAUGGAGCAGAAUGUGGGCCCUUACCAACACUUGAGUCUUCCAUUGCCUUGACCUUUAACUUCCCAGCCUUCAAAACAGUGAGAAAUAAAUUUCUGUAGUUUAUAAGCCAA